This 468-nucleotide ribosomal RNA is filed under the name uncultured bacterium. RNAcentral describes it as "partial 16S ribosomal RNA". It matches the Rfam family "Bacterial small subunit ribosomal RNA", at positions 28 to 507 of the family's 1533-position model. The record is from RNAcentral.
GACGAACGCUGGCGGCGUGCUUAACACAUGCAAGUCGAACGGAAAGGCCCUGCUUUUGUGGGGUGCUCGAGUGGCGAACGGGUGAGUAACACGUGAGUAACCUGCCCUUGACUUUGGGAUAACUUCAGGAAACUGGGGCUAAUACCGGAUAGGAGCUCCUGCUGCAUGGUGGGGGUUGGAAAGUUUCGGCGGUUGUGGAUGGACUCGCGGCUUUUCAGCUUGUUGGUGGGGUAGUGGCUUACCAAGGCUUUGACGGGUAGCCGGCCUGAGAGGGUGACCGGCCACAUUGGGACUGAGAUACGGCCCAGACUCCUACGGGAGGCAGCAGUGGGGAAUAUUGCACAAUGGGCGGAAGCCUGAUGCAGCAACGCCGCGUGCGGGAUGACGGCCUUCGGGUUGUAAACCGCUUUCGCCUGUGACGAAGCGUGAGUGACGGUAAUGGGUAAAGAAGCACCGGCUAACUACGUG